AAUUAGAUUGUUUGCAUGGUAAUCUGAAUCUGUCCAUUCACAUGCGUUAUACCUGUUCUGUUAUGCUUAUGAUUGGACUACAAGCUUGUUUCCGUUGCUAUUUACUAUCUCAUGGCUAUUCUUCUCAGUAGACUCAAUUGCCAUUAGUCCCGUUCGAUAGAGGAAAGUCGAGUUCAUUUGAUUUUUCAGAUUUGAGGACGAAUCUUUUUGAGGAAGGGGGAAUGAUACGAGUCACAAAAGCCCAAAUUCUUGAAGGCGAG
RNAcentral lists this long non-coding RNA (260 nucleotides) under Gossypium barbadense (sea-island cotton). Its description in RNAcentral is "long non-coding RNA (GBAR_LNC018051)". The record is from RNAcentral. Lineage: Eukaryota; Viridiplantae; Streptophyta; Magnoliopsida; Malvales; Malvaceae.